Molecule: ribosomal RNA, 497 nt
Filed under: uncultured bacterium
Lineage: Bacteria
Description: partial 16S ribosomal RNA
Rfam family: Bacterial small subunit ribosomal RNA
Source: RNAcentral
ACUCAAAGGAAUUGACGGGGGCCCGCACAAGCGGCGGAGCAUGUUGCUUAAUUCGAGGCAACGCGAAGAACCUUACCUGGGUUUGACAUGCAGGGAAAAGCCGCAGAGAUGCGGUGUCCGCAAGGGCCCUGCACAGGUGGUGCAUGGCUGUCGUCAGCUCGUGUCGUGAGAUGUUGGGUUAAGUCCCGCAACGAGCGCAACCCUUGUCCUAUGUUGCCAGCGGGUAAUGCCGGGGACUCGUAGGAGACUGCCGGGGUCAACUCGGAGGAAGGUGGGGACGACGUCAAGUCAUCAUGCCCCUUACAUCCAGGGCUGCAAACAUGCUACAAUGGCCGGUACAAAGGGCUGCUAUCCCGCGAGGGUGAGCGAAUCCCAGAAAGCCGGUCUCAGUUCGGAUUGGAGUCUGCAACUCGACUCCAUGAAGCCGGAGUCGCUAGUAAUCCCGGAUCAGCAACGCCGGGGUGAAUACGUUCCCGGGCCUUGUACACACCGCCCGU